UGAAAAUUUGCGAGUUUCGCAGGAUUCAAUUUGCCAACUGCAAGCAUAUAAGGCUUCUUUCCAGCAUUUAAAAUCAUUUUUCUAAGUUGAUUCAAAACAUGUAAAUAUCGAUGUACUCCUAAAGUACCUAUAACAAUUCCAAUGACUCCUGCAUCUCGACAUCUUUGAACCAAGGCAUACCUUCGUCGAAGCUUAGCACCCGUGAAAGAUGAUUCUUCAACUAUUUUAUUCGACAAUGGAUCAAAGGACAAAAACUGAUUAACCAAAGAAUAAUGAGACAUAAGAAUUGAAGACAAAGUUGGAGAAUCUGGUCCAAUAUAAAGCAAAGUCAUAUCUUGCAAAGACAGCGACUUCGGUAACGAAUAAGUUCUGCCAGGAAUAGUAUAGGAAGUAGAUGCCUCUUCUAAGUUCGGCUCAAUUCUCUCUUUAAGGUGUGAUUCAUAUACAUUUUGGUAGCCAAGAGUUUUCAAGGACUUAAGGAUUGAGUCUUGCGCAUAAUACCAACGAGUGUCACUAACAAGUAAAAUAUUUUGAUCCAAAGGUAUCGUUAAGCAUUUUUCCAAUUUAUGAAGAUUAAUAGGUAAUCUUCCAAAAACAUAAAGGACAGGAAGUCGAGAGGUCCUAAUAAUAUUAUCUGUUAGCAACACAAAAUUGCAAAGAUUAACUUACGGCGAUAAACACGCUCUUCCAUAAUGAACGAUAGCAUCUGCAGACAUAUGCUCAGCAGCUACCUCAUCAACACAACAGCUACCAUAAUUUGUGUCUGCUAAAAUCUGAACGUUUGCUUCAACUAAAUUCGUGAGGAUAGAAGCCACUUUUCCAGAAUCGGCUAGGUGUUCAUCAGGAAAUUGAAGAGCAACCUGUAAAAAUAGUUAAUAGUCAAAUCGCUAUGUCAAUUGUAUAAAUUUUUCCAAAAAAAAAAAAAAACAUACCGAGUUAUAAUUUCCAGAUUUAAUAAAAUCAACAGUUCGAUUUAUUUCAUACACUUCAACCAAAUCUCCUUCAAUUUUAACGGUUUCGCCAAUUUCUUUUUCUAGAAUUGCUUCUGAAUUAUCACUUAAAGGUACUGGAGCUGAUAAUUCAAAAGACAUAUUAUAGACGCGAAAAUUUAUAAUUGUUGCCUCCACUUGGUUCUGCGCAAAAAAAAGUUUGCUGAGAAAUGUAUUAAAAGAUACCAAUAGUUGGAUGAUAAGCAAUAUUGGAUUAUAAUUACUUUUGAUACCCUUACUGAUAAAUAAAUAGUAUGAAAAAGUGCCUUUACCGACUAUACUGUUUGACGAUUAAGAUUACAAGUGUUGUUCCCAAUGGUCGAAAUAUUACAUCUGCAGUGAGCAUAUAUACUCAAAUAAUUGUAUAAGUAAUCAAUGAAUAAAUUAAACAAAGAAUUAACUAAUAUAUGAAUGAACAUUUCAG
Schizosaccharomyces pombe (fission yeast) is the source of this 1413-nucleotide non-coding RNA. The record is from the annotation of a GenBank genome assembly. Lineage: Eukaryota; Fungi; Ascomycota; Schizosaccharomycetes; Schizosaccharomycetales; Schizosaccharomycetaceae.